RNAcentral lists this ribosomal RNA (468 nucleotides) under uncultured bacterium. Its description in RNAcentral is "partial 16S ribosomal RNA". It matches the Rfam family "Bacterial small subunit ribosomal RNA", at positions 28 to 507 of the family's 1533-position model. The record is from RNAcentral.
GACGAACGCUGGCGGCGUGCUUAACACAUGCAAGUCGAACGGAAAGGCCCUGCUUUUGUGGGGUGCUCGAGUGGCGAACGGGUGAGUAACACGUGAGUAACCUGCCCUUGACUUUGGGAUAACUUCAGGAAACUGGGGCUAAUACCGGAUAGGAGCUGCUGCUGCAUGGUGGGGGUUGGAAAGUUUCGGCGGUGGGGGAUGGACUCGCGGCUUAUCAGCUUGUUGGUGGGGUAGUGGCUUACCAAGGCUUUGACGGGUAGCCGGCCUGAGAGGUUGACCAGCCACAUUGGGCCUGAGAUACGGACCAGACUCCAACGGGAGGCAGCAGUGGGGAAUAUUGCACAAUGGGCGGAAGCCUGAUGCAGCAACGCCGCGUGCGGGAUGACGGCCUUCGGGUUGUAAACCGCUUUCGCCUGUGACGAAGCGUGAGUGACGGUAAUGGGUAAAGAAGCACCGGCUAACUACGUG